ACAAGCGGUGGAGUAUGUGGUUUAAUUCGAUGCAACGCGAAGAACCUUACCUGGUCUUGACAUCCCGGAGACCCUUAGGAAACUAGGGGGUGCUUCCAUCUGGAAGAAUCUGGAGGCAGGUGCUGCAUGGCUGUCGUCAGCUCGUGUCGUGAGAUGUUGGGUUAAGUCCCGCAACGAGCGCAACCCUUGCCUUUAGUUGCCAGCAGUUCGGCUGGGCACUCUAAAGGGACUGCCGGUGUUAAACCGGAGGAAGGUGGGGAUGACGUCAAGUCCUCAUGGCCUUUAUGACCAGGGCUACACACGUACUACAAUGGCCGAUACAAAGGGCAGCGACACUGCGAGGUGAAGCCAAUCCCGUAAAAUCGGUCUCAGUCCGGAUUGGAGUCUGCAACUCGACUCCAUGAAGUUGGAAUCGCUAGUAAUCGUGGAUCAGCAUGCCACGGUGAAUACGUUCCCGGGCCUU
RNAcentral lists this ribosomal RNA (463 nucleotides) under uncultured Desulfobulbus sp. RNAcentral describes it as "bacterial SSU rRNA". It matches the Rfam family "Bacterial small subunit ribosomal RNA", at positions 925 to 1382 of the family's 1533-position model. The record is from RNAcentral. Lineage: Bacteria; Pseudomonadati; Thermodesulfobacteriota; Desulfobulbia; Desulfobulbales; Desulfobulbaceae.